Molecule: ribosomal RNA, 459 nt
Filed under: uncultured bacterium
Lineage: Bacteria
Description: partial 16S ribosomal RNA
Rfam family: Bacterial small subunit ribosomal RNA
Source: RNAcentral
CCUACGGGAGGCAGCAGUGAGGAAUAUUGGUCAAUGGCCGGAAGGCUGAACCAGCCAAGCCGCGUGAAGGAGGAAGGUGCCAAGCAUUGUAAACUUCUUUUGUCAAGGGACAAACUCAGGCUCGCGAGCCUGGCCGAGUGUACUUGAAGAAAAAGCAUCGGCUAACUCCGUGCCAGCAGCCGCGGUAAUACGGAGGAUGCGAGCGUUAUCCGGAUUUAUUGGGUUUAAAGGGUGCGUAGGCGGACUGUUAAGUCAGCGGUAAAAGCCCGGGGCUCAACCCCGGCGAGCCGUUGAAACUGGCGGGCUUGAGAUGGAGAGAGGUAGGCGGAAUGCGCAGUGUAGCGGUGAAAUGCUUAGAUAUUGCGCAGAACUCCGAUUGCGAAGGCAGCAUACCGGCGGCGAACUGACGCUGAGGCACGAAAGCGUGGGUAUCGAACAGGAUUAGAUACCCCUGUAGUC